CUCUUUUCCCAUUCCCAGCCUACUCUGAUAUUUUUUUCCCAUUCUCCUUCUUGUCUCUUUCUCUUCCCUUUUCCCUAGCCGCCACUCCCGUAACCACCAUCAUCCUUAGCUCCGACCACCUAUCCACCAUCCUCACAACCCUUUCUCUCCGAGCCAAGCUCCAAAUCUCAGGCACCCGUGAACCCAACCCCCAAACCAAGUGACCCCAGGUGCGAGCCCACCUCUGCGUGACUUCGACCCAGUGCGACUUCCAUUCGCGGGCCACCACCAGGCACAAUUCUACUCCCGUUCCGAUGUAGAGCCCCGAGUGUGCACCAAGCGAGGGCCUAGAUUCCACAAGCCCAGGCGCGAUUCUGCACCCGUUCCACUAUAGAGCCCCGUUUCUGAUGUUCCAGAGAAAACAAUCAUCUUAUAACUCUUCGGAUGAGAAGUUUGAGAUUCGGAAAGAGACGUACAGGGGUCAACAGUAUAGUCAGAUUAACUUUGCUCGUCUUCACAUGUUGAGGACUAUUCUCUAUUCCCUUGCUCCUAAUUGGAAACCUCAUUUACCAGUACGUACUGUUUUGGAAUUAGAAGAGGGGAAGGAAUGCAUAGUAGUUGGAACCUUGUACAAGCACAUGAAACUCAAACCUUCAAUUCUUGAGGAGUAAGGAGGUUUGUAGGCGUGAUGGUGGUGGUGUUGAGGGUUCAUGGUAGUGGCUCAAAGGGCAAAGGGUGGUGUCUUCUUCAUAUCAAUGUCUGGGUUGUUGAGUGAUGCCGAGAUAAGAUUUUAUUUUCAUUUAAAAAUGGGUUUGUAAAUUUGAUUAUUUUACUUUUGAGAAUAACUUGUGUGUUUCAUAUUUCUUUAUGUUUUGAGUUUACUAAUUAUUUUUAAAGAUUUAUCUAUGGUUGAGUAUGUUAAAUCUUUUA
Long non-coding RNA from Humulus lupulus (European hop), 909 nucleotides. RefSeq lists it as uncharacterized. The transcript has 4 exons. The record is from RefSeq and is a predicted model, not a curated record. NCBI's taxonomy places the organism in Eukaryota, Viridiplantae, Streptophyta, Magnoliopsida, Rosales, Cannabaceae.